GACGAACGCUGGCGGCGUGCUUAACACAUGCAAGUCGAACGAAGUGGCGAACGGGUGAGUAACGCGUAAUCAACCAGCCCUUCAGAGGGGGACAACAGUUGGAAACGACUGCUAAUGCCGCAUACGGAAGGAGGGGAUUGGGUCUGAUUAGCUAGUUGGAGGGGUAACGGCCCCCCAAGGCGAUGAUCAGUAGCCGGUCUGGGAGGAUGAGCGGCCACAUUGGGACUGCGACACGGCCCAGACUCCUACGGGGGGCAGCCGUGUGGAAUCUUCCGGAAUGGAGGCAAGUCUGACGGCGCAACGCCGCGUGAGUGAUGACGGCCUUCGGGUUUUAAAUCUCUGUUAAUCGGUACGCGGUACCGGAAUAGAAAGCCACGGCUAACUACGUGCCAGCAGCCGCGGUAAUAC
RNAcentral lists this ribosomal RNA (408 nucleotides) under uncultured bacterium. RNAcentral describes it as "partial 16S ribosomal RNA". It matches the Rfam family "Bacterial small subunit ribosomal RNA", at positions 28 to 526 of the family's 1533-position model. The record is from RNAcentral.